This 819-nucleotide long non-coding RNA is filed under the name Cricetulus griseus (Chinese hamster). RNAcentral describes it as "lncRNA (ENSCGRG00015039678.1)". Lineage: Eukaryota; Metazoa; Chordata; Mammalia; Rodentia; Cricetidae. The record is from RNAcentral.
GCCCGGAUGCCCUCCUGUCCCUGCACCUGGGAUGGGACCUCUCUCAGCCCAGGCCUUCCUCUCCUCUUUUCUUCUCUGCUGUCCGCUCUUUCUAGUCCUGGCUUGGCACCAGGGAUGACUGUGUCCCUGGUGGUAGGGAUGGGGCUCCACCCGCUUUAGGCCUUUUUGGUCCCAGCCGCACUCCUCAAAGCAGCUGCAUUCCACCCCACCUUCAGAACCUCGGAGGAUCCCGCAGUCAGCUCUGCCCUCCUGGUGGACUUGCCCCCUCUGAGCCUGCCUGUUGGGGACCACAGGAGGAAGCUGACUUUGAAGGUCUUUCUUGGGAAGCACUAUGGGAUGAAGGUCAAGUCGAAGUCCCAGCCGUGGUGGUGAUGGCGGUGGAGAUAACGGCGGUCUCAGCUUCUCUCGGCUGCAGUAGCAGACGCAGGCAGGUCUGAUGGAUGCCCCUUCCUCCCCAGCUGCCAGGAGUGGGAAGCAUGAGGCGUCCACCUGAUGGUUCUUUCCCAACGAAGACAUCUACCUGCCAUGAGUAAAGCUCAUGGAGCGUCACGUGUGGCCAUCUCUGAGUGAGGCCGGAGAUGAAGACCAGGCUUCCUCCGUCCAAAGUGGGCGCUGAGACCAGCAUGGACUGUUCUGGAGCUCCACAGGAAACAGCUAGGGCUUGGCCAGGCAGUGUCUCAUCUCCCUCUGCUCAGUCCAGCUGGACUCCCUUCCCAUGACCCUCUAAGAAUCCUAUAUGUUGUCCUUCUUUCCCAUGACCCUUGACCUCCAGCUCAGCUUCUGUUUCUGAAGAGUCCCGAGUUCCAGGCUGACUUUCCC